GUAGUCCAUGCCGUAAACGUUGGGCACUAGGUGUGGGGCUCAUUCCACGAGUUCCGUGCCGCAGCUAACGCAUUAAGUGCCCCGCCUGGGGAGUACGGCCGCAAGGCUAAAACUCAAAGGAAUUGACGGGGGCCCGCACAAGCGGCGGAGCAUGCGGAUUAAUUCGAUGCAACGCGAAGAACCUUACCAAGGCUUGACAUGCACCGGACGCUGCCAGAGAUGGUGGUUCCGCAAGGUCGGUGCACAGGUGGUGCAUGGUUGUCGUCAGCUCGUGUCGUGAGAUGUUGGGUUAAGUCCCGCAACGAGCGCAACCCUCGUCCCAUGUUGCCAGCGGGUUAUGCCGGGGACUC
RNAcentral lists this ribosomal RNA (350 nucleotides) under uncultured Isoptericola sp. RNAcentral describes it as "bacterial SSU rRNA". It matches the Rfam family "Bacterial small subunit ribosomal RNA", at positions 790 to 1140 of the family's 1533-position model. Lineage: Bacteria; Bacillati; Actinomycetota; Actinomycetes; Micrococcales; Promicromonosporaceae. The record is from RNAcentral.